Molecule: small RNA, 82 nt
Filed under: Marmota monax (woodchuck)
Lineage: Eukaryota; Metazoa; Chordata; Mammalia; Rodentia; Sciuridae
Source: RNAcentral
GCCAGGUGUGGAGGUGCACACCUGUAAUCCCAGCAGUCAGGAGGCUGAGGCAGGAGGAUUACAAGUUCAGAGCCAGCCUCAG